AUUUUUUAAAAUAUUUUCAACAUUCUUUAUAUUUUUUUCAUAAUUACAAAUUAUUUUUUUAUGUAUUUUUAUGAUUCACAAACACUGAAUCGGAUUAAUUAUUUUUACAUAAUAUAAUACAAAAUAAAAAAAGGGGAGACAAACAACAUAAAAUAAGGGCAUCCAUAAGAUAUAUUGACACCUUUUUCCUUAAAUAUAUACACCACACAAUUACACACACUAUACACACACAAACACAUGCAUAAUCUACACCCGAAAAAUCUGAUCUCCCUUUCUCACUCAAUCUCAUGUCCCUCUCUCUCUCUUUUCUUCUCUCUAAGAAACCACAGCCUCAUCACCACCGGCGAACCAUCGUGAAGCCUUCUCCUUCCCUUACUUGCCAUACCCCUCAAAUCUCCAUCGCUGUCACUCCACCCGGCAAAACACCGACGCCUCAAGCGGCCAGCCACUAGUCCAACCACCAUCCCCUUCCUUUUCUCCCCCCAAUUUUUCUCUCUCUGAUUCCAUACUGCCGACUAUUGGAUUUAAUCGUCGGAUGGCCGGCGACCACAAAUCACAACUGCUCCUUGCCACAUCUUCUUCUUUUCGCUUUUUCUCCAUUAAUAGAGAACACUGCCUUGUCAGAGAAAUGGCCAGAUCAUGACGGGUUGGUGCUUCUCCGACGUUGCUCCGGUGAAACCCAUUGAAGCAGCGUCGGCAUUUUCGUCGUUCAAAAUUUUUCUUUCUUUAAUCUUCAAUUAUUAUGUGGGUUAACUAUUAUUUCUCUCAGCAUUGCUCCG
Molecule: long non-coding RNA, 779 nt
Filed under: Capsicum annuum
Lineage: Eukaryota; Viridiplantae; Streptophyta; Magnoliopsida; Solanales; Solanaceae
Description: long non-coding RNA (CANN_LNC001554)
Source: RNAcentral